CCCUGGCUCGCACUGGCCCGACAGUGGAAAUGCGGCUAAUGGUCACCAAAUGCAGCGCUGCAGCCUGAAACUGUGAAGACUGAAUUCCCAAACAGCUGUGUGACUGCACAGAUGUUACGGCCAUAAAAGAAACUUCACAACUGAGAGCCCAUACCUCCAACAACCUUCAACAGGAAUCAAUGGACAUCUACGCAAGGUUUUUCUUUUGUUGAGGACCGUCAGAGACUCCAGCCACACGAGCCAUGGAUUGCUCUCAACAUCACCAUCAGACAGACAUUAUCACAGAACCAGCACCAGCAGACU
This is a long non-coding RNA of Carassius auratus (goldfish), 303 nucleotides long. RefSeq lists it as uncharacterized. The transcript has 2 exons. NCBI's taxonomy places the organism in Eukaryota, Metazoa, Chordata, Actinopteri, Cypriniformes, Cyprinidae. The record is from RefSeq and is a predicted model, not a curated record.